AGUACCAUAAUAACCGGGAUUCAUUAGCGAAUCGAAGAAAAGAUCGAUGAUCUCGAAGAAGACAACGCGCCAUCAACGAAUUGGGAAACAUUCGAAUUUCAGUCGAACUUCUCAGAAAAGUUGCUUAGAGGGAAAAGAUUGUCGAAACGUUUCGUUCGGCGUGCAGCUCGAAAAAUUGAAAGCAUCGUUGCAGCUGCCGAUGACAGACGCGAAGAACUGAAUACGGAGCCUUGUAUGUGACUAAUGAUUCGGAAUGCACUGGGUUAUCGGUAAUUCGUAUCCCGCAGCGUAUGCUGAUUGCGUUGCUACGAUUGACAUUGCCAAUAUGCUUCAUUAAACUCACUUGUAAAACGACAAGAACGUCGAUAUCGAUCUUUCAGACGAGCUUUCUUUUCUUGCCGCAGACGUGAAAUAGUUACAUUUUUCACCGCCAACUUUGAUACGCAAAGGUGAUAAAAAAUUACAAAAUUGUUUUAAACUAGUCGUACCGCCAGAUACGAACAACAACAAUUCGAAAAUUCUAUCCAUAACGAAUGAGCUUGAACGGGGAUGUUGGUAAUAACGUAAAAACACGGAAAGAAGACCGAAUAUCGUAAACGACCACGAUUUACAUAUUUAUGGCAAUUAUUGUAAAUUAUUUCCCUUGAAAUCAGAAUCAGUCGACAGUUAACAUCUGUUGCAACGAAUCAAAUGAUUUUCUUUAAUUCUAUUUAACAUCGACCGCGUAUACCUAAAUAUUUGUCGCUGACGGAAUUUCGUUAAAAUUUUUCAGCCGUUAAAUACGCUAGUGCCCUUUUACGAAGAAAAAAGAGAAUACGAGGAUCAGGCGAGGUUGUGUUUUAUUCUUUCGACCAAUAAAAGCCAAGCCGGAAAAGCAGCCGGUAUCGCUAUUCCGAACAAAAAUACGAUUCCAUUGGAUUCGAAUAUUCGAAAUAUGUUGAGCAGGGAUUCCCAAUGGAGCGAGUAGCAGCGAGUAAUCAUUUUUCAAGUUUUCCCGGGAGGUCAACGUCGAGUCCUGGUCAGAACGAUGUCAACGAGACUUUUAGCGUGCUCUCGGUCGUCACGGCAAUACCGUAGGCAAAGCACGAAGCCACGCAGCCCUCCGCCAAAUAAAACAAAGCCGUAGCGACCGCGUGCGAGAGUUCACACCACGACCGCAGAAACGGCUGCCAAGCCGAGCAGAAAUGUGUGCAGACAUAUCCCCGAAUCCCCGGAUCCCUCGAGCACUGACCGACCAAUUAACCUUCUGCACAUUCUGGGUCCUCUGCCUUUUCCAAUGACCAACUCUCCAUGCUUCACCUUUGCUAUUCGUUCGUAGCUUCCUCUCGCUUAUUUACAAAACGGUAAACUUUCCAUUCGGACGUUCGUUUUCUCUCGUUGACAUCUAAAUGCUCUGAACGUAUGUAUGUACGUAUCGUAUAAUAGAAAAUUCCGUUAAGUCUAGAAUUUAACAUACUCGCAUAAACGUGAUACACGCCGUGUCGGAGAAUACCUUGCGAUUCGUUUCAACCACUGAAUUCCUGACUCGUUUGUUCUGCGUGUAAAUAUUAAAGCCGAAAAUAUCGGAUUGCGAAGGGAAUGCGAGCAGGCAAGCAAGCACGUCUCCACUUCUGACGUUGUCAUUCUCCCCGAGGCAUAAGCUUACCUCACAUACGAAAGCACGUGUAUCAUGCAUGCAUUUUAUAUUACCGCCGCUUUUUCACUGCGAAACUCAGCUCCGAAAAAUUUCCAACCUUUUUUCCGUUCUGCGUCCGCAGCCACACAACUCUCUUGGCCCUCUUUUAAUCGCGAUUUCAAUCGUUUUCCUUAAUUACGAGGUCUUCGUAAUUCCGGUCAAGUUAGCGGUCAACCCGACUUUUUAACGAUGUACGAUUCGCGACCGACAACCGCGUAGAUGAAAAGUCAAGGCACGAACUUUUCACGAACAAGUGUUUUCAUCGAUCAUUUGCAAUUCUUCUAUCGAAGCUGUGCUGGCAAGUAUCGUGUCCCGGUUCGACAAACUUUACGGCAAACUUUACGACGAGGCAACAGGGGCGAAGCAAAAUCGUGGAAUUGCAAUCGUAACCGGGACGAUAACUCGUUUUCCGUAAGGAAAAAAUUGCGGGUGAUCCCUUAAAAUUAUAGAAGGUUCGUUUGCUUAGCCUGGAAAUCGGGCAACGCUCGCGUAAGCUUCUCCAUAGACGACAUCUGGGUCAACCUCGGUCGUUCGUAAAUAUCGGCUCAAAGUCGCACCGAGAUCGAGUUUACGCGACCGCUUUAAUAAAAUGAUCGCGUGAAUUCUUUUGGGAAAAAACGACAAGUUUCUAGUUGAGCCGCGAUGGAUAUACCGGUCUGUGCCGGUAAGCGACUUUCAACGGGGAACGCGGACUUGGUAUUGCGUACGACACGGUACACCGAAAUCCGGGAUUAUCCGAUCUUAAUCCACGUAAGAGUGGCGAGUGACACGCGUGCAUGCGGUAAUACGCGACGCUAGGGUUCGCGUAUGCGGCUAAGUUUGCUAUAGUGGUAUUCACCGGAAACCCAGUUAGGGCUAGCAAUAAACUUUUAGUGGCCUUAGCCGACGCCAGACUUACCGUACGGAAUUCCAGUUUAAAUUGAAAAUUCCACGCCGUGAAAAGGCCGGGCAAACUUCCACGACGUACAUUAACGCGUGCCGUCAACUCGCACGGAAUUAGAACGGUCGCGGAAAAUCUUUUAAACCGAGACGCGAAUGCUGACCAAGAUAUUUCCUUGAAUCCUGGUAAAUUGUUAUUUCUCGCUGGGAUGCUUAACACCAUCAUCGCGUUACGAGAUACGGGCUAAUAGUCGCUGUAUGCGCGAUUCUCGAUAAUGAGCAUCACAGGUCACGCAAGAGACAGAGUUUGCCCCGUGGUUUCGCGCAUAUAUUCUACUCUUGAUCUCCCGAUAUACGCAUUAUCAACCGAAAUGCAUUCGCGACGAUAAUGCAAUAUCACGCGAAUCGUGGACUCGCUUUCAUCGUCUGUCACACCCUAGGCAUCGGAUCCUGCGAGACGUGAAUUAAGCGUAUACAUUCGACGAAAAUAUAUCGCAGCGGUGCCCCGUACGAAUCGAGACAGAGAAAUACGAAUGAACGAUGGCCAAGAAAAAUGGAAACGAAGAGAGGAUCUGCGAAUUCGAAUAAUAUUUGCGUGAAUACGAAAGGUGUUAUCGCGUGUUUAAAGUGUCGGAAGCCUCUUAUUAUACUUACGGAGAAUCGCAUAAGAACAACGGACGAAAAGAAAGGAGAAAGUAAAAACCAUCGAGGAGAAUUCUUUAACGGAGAAUUCAUGCGACAAGGGAAAGAAAUAACAAGUUCGAUCAAAGACGCUGGACGUACGUCUAAUUACAUCGUUAAGGUAAUCCGUUUUGAAAUCCUUAAAGCGAUUGUCCACGACAAGGCGACGUUAAAUGUACGCGGUAACGAAUAGCUAUGUGUACCUAUAUAUUUAUGUCGUAGAGUGAAAUACAAGAAAAAGUAGGAAACGCUGGAAGAGAAAGAAAGCGUUAACUUGAUACCUCGGAUAGAAAUGAAAACGAGAAAUGAAACAAAGGAAAGCUGCAAAGAAGGUGAACACCUUAACAAGAUAACCCGCUGGUUUGCGUUGAGAACUGAAACAGGAAUCGCGCGACUAAAAUACAUAAAAGACAAAGAACGAGCAGGAAUAAAGCGAAUACCUUGGCGAAUAGGUUCCUUAAUGAAAGAAACAAAUAAGCUAAUAAAUAGAAAAAGACCAAGAAUAAAGUAAAACGUAUUACAAGAGAUACGGCAGAGGCAAGAAAGGAAAAGAAGAGCAAAGAGAAAUCAGCCCAGUUUUGCAUAUACGCGCGUUGAGUUGUGGCAUGGACCGAGCGAAAAUAGAAUACGAAGGAUGAGUUUAUGUCGAAGGUACGUUUGCUGACGAGAUGGACGUAUAAUUUUGAACGACUGGAUUUUUUUAAAGUUUCCAUCAUUACGCGGUUAUUCCUCGAGAGCUUUCCAUUCAAUUGCGUUAUCUUCGAGAUGUUUGAAUUUUAUCGAAGAAUUUCCUUUCGGUUUCGUCCGCUGCUUUCGGUCGAAAAUUUUUCUUCGCAUCUUAUCGUUGCAUUUAUAGCCGGUCGAUCGAAAAUACGGGUUUCAUCUCGGUCAAUCAAAAUAUCAAGGAGCGGAUAACUUAACGAUCUAUCAUUCACGAUUUGCUCGAUAGACGACCCAUCAAACCAUCCAUCGCGAAUCGAUGUUCGAACGGAUUUAACAUUAAUUCAACUCGGUAAAUUCGCGCUGCAAUCCAGCGUCGUCCAUUUCACGAUUGCCGAGCGAACAAAGGAAAGCACCGCACUUGGACAUUCACCUGCAUUGUCUCUUUUUUCAUCGCUUUGAGAGCGACAUCGUGCCGCACGGUUGUUAGAUACAAACACAAACAGACAGCGAUGGUGUCGUGGACGACCGUUCGAUUUGUGACAAAAUGGAUGCAACGGAACUUUUCAGCCAAUGGAUGUAAAAAUAGAUGAGACGACGGAAGUGUGGUUUUUUAACGAACGUGGAACGGCACCGAUGACAUUUUCCAAUCAAAAACCAUUAUUUACUCGACUAACAUGCGUCUCCAUGUAUCGGUCAUUUUAUCGGCAACGUACAAACGCUCUUUCCUUCAUCGACAUUGUCGUCUUAAAAAAUCUAUGAUCGCUAUUAAUCCCGCGAUAGAUGAAAGAAUCGCGAAAAAUGAUAACCGGAUAAAAAAAUAAAAAAAUGCUCCUUCGAGGUCGUUGAGCAAAUUUAUUUCAGAUCGUUCCAAGAACAUCGAAUCGUGGUCGUUCAAAGGCCACUUACGAUCAAUGUUCGGCCAAUUUGCGAAAUAACUUCGCAACGAUGAUAUCACCGACCGUGUGACACAUAUUUUUAAGCUAAGAAAGGAAGUAAGAUAUAGUUGAAAUAUGGUACGCAUGUGGUGAAAAUAAAAUUUACAUGCAUGUCGUAUAAUGGCUUAAGUGCUUUCCUUCGCUGUCACGGUUUCCAUUGGAACAUCGUCUCUUGCUUUUCGUCCGUUCGGCACACAUCGGUUUCGACGUAUGACGAAAAUAUCGUAGGAGCCGUGCAUACCACCGUUACUAUUCGGCCAUCCACGGAAACGACAGGAAACCUUUUUCUUGCCGCGAAAACCUAUCCAGCAGAAAGCUUUCUUGUCAUGCGGUGCUUGCGACCCGUAUAUGUAUACUCGCAGCUUUGCUGUCACGGAAAAACAUGUGUCAUGCUUAUGUAACCCUCGCUAGAGGACAAACCGUCGUCAGUCGUUCGCCGUUCGUCGUUCGCCUGUCGAAUGCAGCUACGGCAGCGUUAAAGUAGCAGUUCAGCGACUGGCGGAAUGCGAAUUUCAAUUAUCGAAACUCGUCCAUGUAGCCUCUUCCAGUUCGUUUAUGACAGGGGGGCGAAAUUACGAAACGGCAAAGUCACAUCGAACGAAACGCGUCGUUCUAUAUUCACGCCAACGAUUGAAAAAUUAUAGACUGUCCGGUGGAUUACAAAUGGCAGACGCGAUCAAGUGGAUUGCCGGAUUGUUCGUUGUAACACGGUCAGUGACGAGCAAAUACCCGUGUGCGCGGCACGGUGACAAUCGUCACCGUGUUCGUAGCCAAAUACUUGUUAAGCGGAUGAGAUUCCGUCGCACCGGUUAAGCAUCGCGGAAUAUUUAACGAUCGAUCGAAUCCUGAUUCGAUCCCACCGACAACGGAUAAAUUUAAUGGUUUCGCGAAUCCAGUGUCUUUCUCUUUUUUUUUUCUUUUUUUCAUCAUUUCCCUCUCGGAGCAUCGGAAGUUUAUAAAACAAGUAUCAGCGGGAAGACAUCGAAUACGUCAGCCUGUUAACGAUGACAGCGGAGCUUCGAUUCAAUCUCGAUAAUCGAAAUGUCGAAGGAAGAUUACGCUAAACAAAGGUUGGAUAAAUUGUUCGGACGUAAAGCCGGGUAGAAAGAAGGGGUGGAAAGGAGGGACAAGGUGGAAUUGAACGGAAAAUCUUUCUUAGUACGAUUAUAGGGGUCAUGCUUGCAUUGGCGGCUGUACCCCAUCUCGGUCUUCGCAAGGUUGCAAGCGGCUUACGGUUGCGAGAAGACGCGUGCCGAAGUCUUAAGGUGUCCUUAAUCCAGUCGUGAUCAGCAGCGUACCGCCCAGGUUCUACUCUCUCACCGGUUGAUCCCUGGAAAUUGGAUCGAUAAGCUCUUAUUCGGUCCACCGCCUCCGACUGGAUCCUAGCGGCGUUCGUCGAGUUGCUUCCACGAUAUUGCGACCGUUAUUAGGUUCUAUCAGUCGAUGUGCCUACCUGUUCUCCAGUUCGAUUCGACUCGCUUCGAUUCGAUGGAAUUGUAUGUAUGUACAAACUUGCUGUCCGAUAAACGUCCAUAAACGGAAACGCGCUCGUCCGGUCUUAGCUUUUCUCGAUCUUCUGAACAGCAACAUUUGCCAACGAUCCAGACGUUAUUGUUUUCCAUACGUUAUCCGUCCCUGCUAUUCGCGUCGUUAACCCCUGUGCGAGAAAUUCAACAUUUCUCACGGAAAACGCUUAUUCGUUCUCAGUGAUACAUCGAUCGAAGAAAUCAUCGUUGUUUUACAUCGAAUCCUCGUUGACUUCUUUUUCUUUUUUUCUCGCACGAGUAACAACACGCAGGUUUGUCACGGCAAAAUGCAACGGACAAUGGCGUGAUUAGUGUAGGGUAAAGUUCAGCUAGACCAACUAAUGGCUCUGGUAACACGGUCCGAUUGAGUUGCUGGUGUUGUCCGAGUUUGACCUAUCAUUGUUUCGCUCGAAAUACCUUGCUGAACAUGUAAACAUUCCUGGAUACAUUGCGCUAUGGGAUCGCUUUUUAACGAAUCGUAACUCGAAGACGAUGUGGUGGAAUCGUUCGACGUUCGUGGAAUUCUACCCAUUAUCGUACGAAUUUAAAGAAAAAGAAGAAAGAUGAGAUUUGAAGGUUUUUCUACGAAUAUAAAAAUUCAAUGCGAUUAGUCAAAGCCCGCAUCCUGGCGUAAUCGCUGCUUUAAUCGCUGUUACUUGUGCGUUUUAAACGCGGUUACCUAUUUUAAAUAACCCGUUUGAAGAAAGCGUAGUUUACAACGAAGAAUUAGCGAACGUCAAGUCCGUAGAACGAAUUCUUUCUCGUGUGGCGUUUUUCGCGUGGUAAAAAUGAAGUUUGCUGCUCGUUAAGGAGAGUAAAAACGUGGCACUGCGGUACGACGCCGCUCUUCGACGAUGCAUAGAAAUUACUGGACACGCGAAUCGCUAUGAUUUCAAAUUUAUAGGACUAUUAUAGUCAAAAGACGAAGAAUCAAAACUGAUUGGAAAUAAUGGUGGUUUGCGAUCGUUUGGUUUAGAGAUAAGCGAAUGGAAAACUUUCGAGAGAAACGAACGAGUAAGAGGAAAGAGAAAAAGCUGAACGGUAGCGUCCAAAAGACAGGAGAACGGUUUCUAAUAAAACAUGGCCUAGCCAGUUCCACUACCAACACCCCGACAUUCUCAGCAGGACGUGGACACUAUCGGUUUUAUUUACUUUUAUCGUGUUCCCCUUCCAUUCUGUGCACACUAUUUCCUUCCAUUUACUUUGCCGUCCACUUACUUUCUCAUUUUUGUUCCUUCGACUGCUAUCGUUCUACUUUUAUAACGUAGUCCAUGUAUCAGAAAGAAGAAGACCGAUGAGAGUAGAGGUCAGAGGGAAUAAAAUAGAGUUUAAGUCUUUACGAGAGAAACAAGUAAGUACAUGGAUCAUCGUCCGUGAGUAAACCGCGACAAAUUCUCACGGAUUCGUAAUUAGAAAGCUUGUAUAGGGAUUAAGAGUGUCGAUUAUUUUGAAGAGAGCUCGAUAACCGUUUUAAAUUACUGUUUAUAAAAAAUUAAUGUUAAGCUGGACGGGAAAAUUACGUAUAAAAUCAGAAAAACGACGAAACGAUGCGACGCCACUCCGAGUUAAUUUAUUCAUAGUGGCGUUAAAAUAUUCAUUGAACGCGAAAAACCGACGCUUUUGUUACUUGUUUUUCAAACUGUGUACAUCAAACGACUAUAUCGAUUAAACUUAUAAAUUAUGAUUUCAUCCUGCUAGUUGCCAGCGUAUCUUCCGACGUUGUUCAAACUCUUUGGACAAGGAUCCUAAAGGAAUAAGUAGAAAAAUCCGAUUUAACGCUAACACGGUACUGUUAACAUUAAAUAACUGUUAGCGAGCAUUUUGCCUGGUAGAAAAUCCCCGAUCGCUUACAGAUUGGCACGAUUUUGCUAGUCGGGACUAUCGGAACGAGGUCGUUUUCCAUAACCGUUAGAACAAACGACCCGCCGAUAACGAGUCCCAUAAAUCCGCGAACGAUCGCCGAAAUCGACUUGUUUCCAGUUUGCAACCGAUAUUUCACGGUAGGUAUAAUUUCAUUGUUGUAUGCGCGUUUUCACAGUGACGAGCGACACACUGACAUUCGAUAAAUAUGAACGGCGGAAUUAUUUGAAUUGCGCGUUAUACGACCCAAUUAGUACCUGCACCGUAAUUUUUUCGACGUAUUCCUUUCCCGUACACGUGUACGUAAUCCGAGUUUGUAUUCGCGAGUUCAUCGUGUUUUCUCUGCUCGCGCGCAUCUCUGUACACGCGAUCACCCUACGAAUAAAACGGUAACCGAGUUGCAUUCAACAGAGAACAGACGAUAAAUUAUCGGAAUUGGCUUUAAUUGGCACUGUCGUUUCGACAAAUAAUCUUAAUUGCGGCCAUAGCAAGAUGUUUUCACAAUUUCAAUUUAUUGAUCGAUAUAACGACCGCCACCGCAGCAGAUUCACCUUCGUAAAUUAAUUAGUAGAUGUAAUUCACUUCCGGUGGGUAAUAACGGAUUGCGAAGGUAGUUUUCUGGUUCGGCGGUGAGCGCUAAAUGACAAUUUACCUAAAAGCAAAUUCACCGAUUAUUGCGGAGAACUGUGGAAACCUCGAGGCUAGUGGUGAACGCACACGCUGCACCGCAUUCGGUCACAUCUGCCCGCGCGUCUCGUCUUUGUCCAUUCGGAUUUUAAUCAUCCGCGUAUAAUCUCUUUCUUUCCGUUUAAUCUGCUUCGUCCAGGGAGAAAUUAAUGGAUCGUGAACUCGGUCAGCACCGCUGGACGCUGACUGUGCCGUCGCACCAACCCCAUCGUCUAACCGUACUAAAAUGAUUAAAAUUUUUUUCCAACAUUCGUUAACGACUUGCCAAGGAGCCUGAAGAAAAUCUGAGACAAACGAGCACCGUGGAAAACAGAGUUUCGAUUCCGGAGUUUGUAAGGAACGGUGAAAAAUGACUAGACGUUUUGAUGCAUCAUCGUCGAGUGUAAGCGUCCCAAUUUUAUACGCGCAAACAUAUCCUCGUAACUAAUAAAUCUUUCGCCCCAAUUGUUUAGCUAAUUCCCACGCUUUCACAAAUACCAACGAAAUUGUCAUCGGUAAGGCAACAAACAGCGUUGUCCUUAUUUUAACGGCUCCCUUUAUGCUCUUUAUGCGCGAUUUUAGAAUUAAUUUGCCGGCAACGGUAGCGGUAACGGAACGUGCGUUACAAAUCACGCGUAAUUCGCAAUAAAGCGUCGUUACAGAACAUUAUUGUUCCGACAGGGUAGCGAGAAUAAUUAGCAGGCGAUAGCGAGGCGUGAGGGCGAUAAAUUGCUCUUUUGGGGCAUCGCUUUAUCUCGUCGGCGACGAAUAGAGAGCUCGGAUCGCAAAGAAAAACUGAAAAUACGAAGACGGCACGAAAUCCAAUCCAAGAGAAUUCAUAUCGAUUCUAUUCAACGAAGAAUCGACUCGAUUAAUUUUUCGAUUUCGCCUGAUUUCAGGCUCAAUUGUACAGCCAUGAGAGACCGUCCUUCUUGUCUGUUCUUCUGUUUCGAACGGUCAUGCUGCCACGAUCCUUCUCUCCAGCUUUAUUUCUCGUCGCGUCGCGUUGCUCCAUCUCUGCCCUGUUCCGCUCGAAUUUCGUCUUAAUGGCGACGUAACGUUCUAUUUAUCGCAAGAUAGAAAACUGGCAGAAGUUGAACACGUUCAGUUAACCAAGUUCCGUGCGGCUCCGUGUCGACGGAAAAUUACAGCUAUUAAUCGUAAAACUGUUUUCAUUAGUCAGUUUCUUUCUUUCACGACGGUACAUAUUGACCGGUCAGAAAGGAAAGCGCGCACAGCAAGGCAAUUCCAUUCGCCAACUGGUUACUUUCAUCGACAACGUCCGCGACGUUUUUCCAGCCUUCCACCCGGCUUGCACGUAAAUUAGAUAUGUGCGCGCGCUUGUUCAAUCAAUUCGGUCCACGUACACAGGGGAACGUUUUCGAUAUUCGCUUCAUCGAUUGAAGUCCUGCAUGAAUGGCCAGUGCAUUCGGUCGGUCCAUUUCAACGACACAGCAACAAGAUUGCUAGCCAAGAAAUAUUUGCGUGAUUUUUUCUAGCCGGAAACCAGCAUAAAUACGUCGACCUGUGCGACUCGACAACCGUGCGAGGGCAAACGACGCAAGUGGAAAUAAUCAUGGAUGAAACGAUUGCGAUCGCCCCUUUCGCUCUCCGAAAAACGAGAAAAGUAAUGGUAAAGUUGUAUUCUCAUGUCUGAAAUAUGGACGACAAGCGGAAAAACGGAUGAUAACCGAGUACUCUAUGUACCGAAACUCUGACGAUCGUUGACUGGCAAGAAAGGAACAAAGCUCAAGGGAGACAACUAUCGAUUCUCGUAAUGCGUAACGUUUGAUUAACGAGACGCUUUUCCGCACAAUUACGUCAUUGCGAUACGUCGACGACGAUAGGAUAGGCGGAGGAAGCGUUGACAGACGUCUAUCGCCAUGAAGGCGAACGAUGGGAGGCGUUCACCCUUUUGUCGUGAUCGGAUAAGCCGAUAACAAUGGAGAUAAUGAAGGUAGGACUUUUGGUGAGAUUUACGAAGCAACCAGAUAACCAUUAUUAUAAGAAAUAAAUAUUCAACGUUUUGGUUCUGAUUGAAUUUCUUCAAGAAAAAAAUGAUUUCCUGCAAAGAAUUUUUAUUCGGGCAAGUGAAAUUGAUGAGAAAGUAGCGGAAAUAAUAAUAAAGACGAUAUUAUUGCAGUAUAAUAAUUCGUAAUACGCGAACAUCCUUCUAGGACAUCAUUAUCAUCCUUAUCAUCAUGAGCCGUGUGGUUCCACGACGUCAGAUUUUCGGCCUCACGUGCCGUCAGUUCUAAAGAGGACACGACGCUGACACAUACUUGUUAUUCAUUUGAUUAGUUUCAUCAACGCAAUUAUAAUUUAUGUGGAAUCCGCGCGUGCAAGAACUUCCGCCUCGUUGCAAGACAUUCUUGGAAGUCACGGCCACCUCUGCCCACCACGGGUUAAAGGCGGCGCUAAGGUACGAAAGCUGCGAGCGUUUAAGAGUUCCAAGGACGCAUAAAUAGCAAGCUCGUUUGCCCGAACAAGUCCUCACUCCCGAAACUCGGUACAAGAGGAGCUGGCAAAUUCCUCGUUCCAUUUUCAUCCCAGACAAUAUGCCUCUCGCGGCACGACCAACUUUCUCGGAACAUAUUUUUUCGUAGAACGUCGCGGGGUUGGAGCGCGUCUUAAAUCAUUUGGAUCUUCUCCUUCUCGUACUCGGCGGAAUAUCUGCUCGGUUCGAGAAGCGGAACGAAAGCAGGCUCUGCGAAUAAAGGAAGAGCGGAGGGAACGGAAAGAGAGGACAUCGUGGUCCAGCGCGGGACGUCGGAAAGGGUUGUCAGCUCAAAAGGGGAUUAAAGAAGAACGGAAUUUCUAGUAGUUAUGCCUGCCGGACUCGCAGCCUGCCUUGAAUUAUGAUCGCGCCCACUCCAGUCUCUAUUAAAGUUAUAAAUUUUCAAUUCAAUAACAUGUCGACUAUCGUCGGAUACAAUCACUGUUCGACCUAUUCGUUUGCUUA
This is a long non-coding RNA of Bombus terrestris (buff-tailed bumblebee), 11847 nucleotides long. RefSeq lists it as uncharacterized. The record is from RefSeq and is a predicted model, not a curated record. Lineage: Eukaryota; Metazoa; Arthropoda; Insecta; Hymenoptera; Apidae. The transcript has 4 exons.